GUAAGUUAUUAAGGGCACACGGUGGAUGCCUUGGCAUUAAGAGCCGAUGAAGGACGUGUGAAUCUGCGAUAAGCCUCGGGGAGCCGAUAACUGGGCUGUGAUCCGAGGAUUUCCGAAUGGGGAAACCUGGCUCAUCUUCAUGGUGAGUUACCGCCAGCUGAAUGUAUAGGCUGGUUGGGGGGAACGCGGGGAAGUGAAACAUCUCAGUACCCGCAGGAAGAGAAAAUAAAGUAAUGAUUCUGUGAGUAGUGGCGAGCGAAAGCGGAAGAGACUAAACCUGUGGUGUGUGAUAGCGGUUAGGCGUUGCAUCAUGGGGGUUGUGGGAGUCACAGUGGCAGUUCUAACUGGCUGCCGGCAUGAUGUUCAGGAUGGUAGGUGAACGACUUGGAAUGGUCGGCCGUAGAGGGUGAGAGUCCCGUAAUCGAAAUUGUUCUGUCCGUGGUGUGGCCACCCGAGUAGCACGGGGCUCGUGGAAUCUCGUGUGAAUCUGCCAGGACCACCUGGUAAGUCUAAAUACUUCUUAGUGACCGAUAGUGAAUCAGUACCGUGAGGGAAUGGUGAAAAGUACCCCGGGAGGGGAGUGAAAUAGUACCUGAAACCGUGUGCUUACAAGCCGUUGGAGCCUUUUGGGGUGACAGCGUGCCUUUUGAAGAAUGAGCCUGCGAGUUAGUGUUAUGUCGCGAGGUUAACCCGUGUGGGGUAUCCGUAGCGAAAGCGAGUCUGAAUAGGGCGUUUGAGUGGCAUGACCUAGACCCGAAGCGGAGUGAUCUAUCCAUGGCCAGGUUGAAGCGACGGUAAGACGUCGUGGAGGACCGAACCCACUUCAGUUGAAAAUGGAGGGGAUGAGCUGUGGAUAGGGGUGAAAGGCCAAUCAAACUCUGUGAUAGCUGGUUCUCCCCGAAAUGCAUUUAGGUGCAGCGUUACGUGUUUCUUGCCGGAGGUAGAGCUACUGGAUGGCCGAUGGGCCUUCACGGGUUACUGACGUCAGCUAAACUCCGAAUGCCGGUAAGUGAGAGNGUAGCAGUGAGACAGUGGGGGAUAAGCUUCAUUGUCGAGAGGGAAACAGCCCAGACCACCAACUAAGGCCCCUAAGCGUGUGCUAAGUGGGAAAGGAUGUGGAGUUGCUNAGACAACCAGGAGGUUGGCUUAGAAGCAGCCAUCCUUGAAAGAGUGCGUAACAGCUCACUGGUCAAGUGAUUCUGCGCCGAUAAUGUAGCGGGGCUCAAGUACACCGCCGAAGUUGUGGCAAUGACCUUUUUUGGUUGUUGGGUAGGGGAGCGUCGUGUGGCCGGUGAAGCUGCGGUGUAAACCAGUGGUGGAGGCUAUGCGAGUGAGAAUGCAGGCAUGAGUAGCGAAAGAUGAGUGAGAAACUCAUCCGCCGGAUGAUCAAGGGUUCCAGGGUCAAGUUAAUCUGCCCUGGGUUAGUCGGGGCCUAAGGCGAGGCCGACAGGCGUAGUCGAUGGAUAACGGGUUGAUAUUCCCGUACCGGUGAAAAACCGCCCAUACUGAUAUUGUGAUGCUAACCAUGCGAAGCAUGAUGUGCAGGCUUUUGUUUGUGUGUUGUGUGGGUUGUGGGAACCGAUCUUUGGAGGUAAACGUGUUAACAGGUGUGACGCAGGAAGGUAGCCAAGCCACGCGAUGGUUGUCGUGGUCUAAGCGUGUAGGGUUGUCGGUUGUUAAAUGGUCGCCGGCUGUGUGCCUGAGACGUGAUGGGACCCCGUUUUUGGGGGAUUUGGUGAUCCUAUGCUGCCGAGAAAAGCAUCGGCGUGAGGUUUUAGCCGCCCGUACCCUAAACCGACACAGGUGAUCAGGUAGAGAAUACUAAGGCGAUCGAGAGAAUCAUGGUUAAGGAACUCGGCAAAAUGCCCCCGUAACUUCGGGAGAAGGGGGGCCCCAACCUUGAGCACCACGUGCUGGUGUGAGGGGAUCGGGGCCGCAGAGACCAGGGGGAAGCGACUGUUUAUCAAAAACACAGGUCCAUGCGAAGUCGUAAGACGAUGUAUACGGACUGACUCCUGCCCGGUGCUGGAAGGUUAAGGGGAACUGUUAGCUUUGGCGACGCGGUGAACUUAAGCCCCAGUAAACGGCGGUGGUAACUAUAACCAUCCUAAGGUAGCGAAAUUCCUUGUCGGGUAAG
This 2137-nucleotide ribosomal RNA is filed under the name insect metagenome. RNAcentral's name for it is "bacterial LSU rRNA". It matches the Rfam family "Bacterial large subunit ribosomal RNA", at positions 1 to 1980 of the family's 2925-position model. The record is from RNAcentral.